UUGGAGGGCAAGUCUGGUGCCAGCAGCCGCGGUAAUUCCAGCUCCAAUAGCGUAUAUUAAAGUUGUUGCAGUUAAAAAGCUCGUAGUUGAACUUCGGGAUCAAUGGAUUGGUCAUGCCGAUGGUGUGUACUGGUCAUAUUGGUUCUCACCUUCUAAGGAACCAUAAUGUCAUUUAUUUGAUGUUGUGGGGAAUUAGGACUGUUACCUUGAAAAAAUUAGAGUGUUUAAAGCAGGCUAACGCUUGAAUACAUUAGCAUGGAAUAAUGAAAUAGGACAUCGCAUUCUAUUUUGUUGGUUUCUAGGAUCGAUGUAAUGAUUAAUAGGGAUAGUUGGGGGCAUUAGUAUUCAAUUGUCAGAGGUGAAAUUCUUGGAUUUAUUGAAGACUAACUACUGCGAAAGCAUUUGCCAAGGAUGUUUUCAUUAAUCAAGAACGAAAGUUAGGGGAUCGAAGACGAUCAGAUACCGUCGUAGUCUUAACCAUAAACUAUGCCGACUAGGGAUCGGAUGAUGUUGAUUUUUUUAAU
This 524-nucleotide ribosomal RNA is filed under the name uncultured Glomeraceae. RNAcentral describes it as "SSU rRNA". It matches the Rfam family "Eukaryotic small subunit ribosomal RNA", at positions 548 to 1076 of the family's 1831-position model. Lineage: Eukaryota; Fungi; Glomeromycota; Glomeromycetes; Glomerales; Glomeraceae. The record is from RNAcentral.